UACGGAGGGUGCAAGCGUUAAUCGGAAUUACUGGGCGUAAAGCGUGCGUAGGCGGUGAUUUAAGUCAGAUGUGAAAGCCCCGGGCUUAACCUGGGAACGGCAUUUGAUACUGGGUCACUUGAGUGUGGUAGAGGAGAGCGGAAUUUCCGGUGUAGCGGUGAAAUGCGUAGAUAUCGGAAGGAACACCAGUGGCGAAGGCGGCUCUCUGGACCAACACUGACGCUGAGGUACGAAAGCGUGGGUAGCAAACAGG
Molecule: ribosomal RNA, 253 nt
Filed under: uncultured bacterium
Lineage: Bacteria
Description: partial 16S ribosomal RNA
Rfam family: Bacterial small subunit ribosomal RNA
Source: RNAcentral